RNAcentral lists this ribosomal RNA (918 nucleotides) under uncultured archaeon. Its description in RNAcentral is "partial 16S rRNA". The record is from RNAcentral.
AUUUCCGGCGUUGACUCCAAUUGAACCGCAGGCUUCACCCCUUGUGGUGCUCCCCCGCCAAUUCCUUUAAGUUUCAGUCUUGCGACCGUACUCCCCAGGCGGCAGACUUAACGGCUUCCCUGCGGCACUGGGUUGGCCCGAAGCCAACCCAUCACCGAGUCUGCAUCGUUUACAGCUGGGACUACCCGGGUAUCUAAUCCGGUUUGCUCCCCCAGCUUUCAUCCCUCACCGUCGAGCGCGUUCUGGCAAACCGCCUUCGCCACUGGUGGUCUUCAGUGGAUCAGUGGAUUUUACCCCUACCCACUGAGUACCGUUUGCCUCUCCCGCCUCCUAGCCCUGUAGUAUCCUCCGCAGCCCAUCUGUUGAGCAGGUGGAUUUAACGGAGGACUUGCAGAACAAGCUACGGAUGCUUUAGGCCCAAUAAUCGUCCCGACCACUCGGGGUGCUGGUAUUACCGCGGCGGCUGACACCAGACUUGCCCACCCCUUAUUCUGCACCAUUUUUAGAGGUGCCAAAAGAUGCCCUUAGCGGGCAUCACUCAGAGUAACCUUGUCAAGCUUUCGCCUAUUGCAGAGGUUUCGCGCCUGCUGCGCCCCAUAGGGCCUGGGCCCUUGUCUCAGUGCCCAUCUCCGGGCUCCUUCUCUCAAAGCCCGUACCGGUUAUUGGUUUGGUGGGCCAUUACCCCACCAACAGCCUGAUCGGCCGCAGUCCAAUCCAGGGGCCAUAUAGGUUUCAGCCAUUGUCCAUUCCAGAAACCUUGGCCUAUCGCAGUUUAUCCUCAGUUUCCCGAGGUUAUCCACGUCCCCUGGGCAUGUUGACUACGUGUUACUGAGCCGUAUGCCACGCCUUGCGGCGUUGACUCGCAUGGCUUAGCCCCACUCUGAUAGCAGUCGGGUCCGGCAGGAUCAACCGGAAAAU